This 166-nucleotide non-coding RNA is filed under the name uncultured Angelakisella sp. RNAcentral's name for it is "Lysine riboswitch". It matches the Rfam family "Lysine riboswitch aptamer". From Rfam's summary of the family: Riboswitches are metabolite binding domains within certain messenger RNAs that serve as precision sensors for their corresponding targets. The record is from RNAcentral. Lineage: Bacteria; Bacillati; Bacillota; Clostridia; Eubacteriales; Oscillospiraceae.
UUUGGUAGAGGUCGCGGGAUCCAUCAGUAUUCCCUCCACACGGCGCGGGGCGCCGGGGGGAAGAAAGGGGCCCCCGCCGAAGUAGGACCGUCCCCCCGAGGGCGCUCCCGCUGGGACGCAGCAGAAUAUGCUGCGGACUGUCACAGAUAUUGUGGAGAGCUAUCAU